GUUAAAAAGCUCGUAGUCGGAUUUCAGAUUUGUUGGUUCAUUCUCAUCAUGAGUUGUUUCAGCAUUUCUUCUUUGGCGGAAGACUUCCUAACAUUAAUUUGUCGGGUUGUUCAGCUGUCUCUUUUACUUUGAGAAAAUUAGAGUGUUCAAAGCAGGUUGAUUGCCUGAAUAUUACUCUUGGAAUAAUAAUAUAGGACUCUGGUU
RNAcentral lists this ribosomal RNA (204 nucleotides) under uncultured marine eukaryote. RNAcentral describes it as "partial 18S ribosomal RNA". It matches the Rfam family "Eukaryotic small subunit ribosomal RNA", at positions 618 to 835 of the family's 1831-position model. The record is from RNAcentral.